Molecule: unclassified non-coding RNA, 218 nt
Filed under: uncultured Tomentella
Lineage: Eukaryota; Fungi; Basidiomycota; Agaricomycetes; Thelephorales; Thelephoraceae
Description: sequence contains ITS2
Source: RNAcentral
ACACCUCAACUCUCGUGGCUUGCCAUGAUGAGCUUGGACUAUGGGGGUUUUGCUGGCCUGAGGUCAGCUCCUCUCAAAUGAAUCAGCUUGCCAGUGUUUGGUGGCAUCACAGGUGUGAUAACUAUCUACGCUUGUGGUUUUCCACCAGGUAACCUUCAGCGAUGGAGGUUCGCUGGGGCUCAUAAACGUCUCUCCUCAGUGAGGACAGCUCUUUGAAC